This 1533-nucleotide ribosomal RNA is filed under the name Triticum aestivum (bread wheat). RNAcentral describes it as "partial small subunit ribosomal RNA". Lineage: Eukaryota; Viridiplantae; Streptophyta; Magnoliopsida; Poales; Poaceae. The record is from RNAcentral.
AUGAAGGUUGAAGAAGCAUUGGAAGAUCCGGAUUGGAUAAACGCUAUGCAUGAAGAGCUACAUAAUUUUGAGAGAAACCAAGUUUGGACAUUGGUCGAGAAGCCCGACAACAACCACAACAUCAUUGGUACCAAAUGGGUGUUUCGCAACAAGCAAGAUGAAGAUGGACAAGUGGUUCGCAACAAGGCACGUCUCGUCGCUCAAGGGUACACACAAGUCGAAGGUAUGGACUAUGGUGAGACAUAUGCCCUCGUUGCUAGACUUGAGUCCAUUCGCAUCUUACUUGCCUAUGCUAAUCACCAUAAUAUCACCUUGUACCAAAUGGACAUUAAAAGUGCUUUUCUAAAUGGUGAAAUAGAGGAGGAAGUUUAUGUCAAACAACCUCCCGGCUUUAUCAAUCCUAAGAAACCAAAUCAUGUUUACAAACUUCACAAAGCUCUUUAUGGUCUUAAACAAGCUCCUAGAGCAUGGUAUAAAUGCUUGACCAAGUUCCUUACUACAAGUGGUUUUGAAAUUGGCAAAAUUGAUUCUACUAUUUUUACUAAAAGGGUUAAUGGAGAACUAUUUGUAUGCCAAAUUUAUGUUGAUGAUAUCAUAUUUGGUUCAACUAACCCUCUCUUUAGUGAAAAGUUUGGAAAGCUAAUGUCAGAGAAGUUUGAGAUGUCUAUGAUGAGUGAACUCAAAUUCUUUCUCGGGUUGCAAAUCAAGCAAACUAAGGAAGGUACAUUUGUCUCUCAAACAAAGUACACCAAGGACUUGUUCAAGAAGUUCAAUAUACAAGAAUGCAAAGGUAUGUCUACACCCAUGCCUACUAGUGGACAUAAUGAUUUAACCAAAGAUGGUGAACCGGUUGAUCAAAAGGUUUAUCGCUCUAUGAUUGGUUCAUUGUUAUACCUAUGUGCUUCAUGUCCCGAUAUUAUGCUAAGUGUGUGCAUGUGUGCACGAUAUCAAGCUGCUCCUAAAGAUUGUCAUCUUAAGGCUGUGAAAAGGAUAGUGAGAUACUUAAUCCAUACACCAAAUUUUGGCAUUUGGUAUCCUAAGAGGUCUUCUUUUGAUCUUGUUGGCUAUUCCGACUCGGAUUAUGCCGGAGACAAGGUUGAUAGAAAGUCCACUUCGGGUACUUGUCAAUUUCUUGGUAGAUCUCUUGUGUCUUGGUCUUCCAAGAAACAAAACUCGGUAUCCUUAUCCACCGCAGAAGCGGAAUACAUUGCCGCUGGUUCAUGUUGUGCUCAAUUACUUUGGAUGACCCAAACUCUUAAAGAUUAUGGAAUUUAUGUGAAACAUGUUCCACUGCUUUGUGACAAUGAAAGUGCUAUAAAAAUUGGUCAUAAUCCUGUACAACAUUCUCGAACUAAGCAUAUUGAAGUUCGUCAUCAUUUCAUUCGAGAUCAUGUUGCUAAGGGUGACAUUAAUCUUAAGCAUGUUCGCACCGAUAAGCAAUUAGCGGAUAUAUUUACUAAACCUCUUGAUGAGAAAGUGUUUUGCAGGUUGAGAGGAGAAUUAAACAUCAUUGAUGCUUCGAACUUGGAGUAG